AGAUUGAAGGGCUGCAGUAUAUUGACUGUACAAAGGUAGCAUAAUCAUUAGUCAUUUAAUUGAUGACUUGUAUGAAGGAUUGGAUGAAAUAUAAACUGUCUUUUUAUUAAUAAUAGAAUUUAAUUUUUUAAUUAAAAAGUUAAAAUAUUUUAAAAAGACGAGAAGACCCUAUAGAGUUUUAUAAAUAAAAUAAUUAAGAUUAUUUAAUUAAAUAAAAUUAAGAUUAUAUUAUUUAUUUUGUUGGGGUGACAGAAAAAUAUAUUUAACUUUUUUUUUAUUUAAAACAUUUAUAAGUGGUUAAAUGAUCCAAUAUUAUUGAUUAUAAGAAAAAAUUACCUUAGGGAUAACAGCGUAAUUUUUUUUUUUAGUUCAAAUAAGAAAAAGAGUUUGCGACCUCGAUGUUGGAUUAAGAUAAAAUUUAAAUGCAGAAG
RNAcentral lists this ribosomal RNA (431 nucleotides) under Poeonoma serrata. RNAcentral's name for it is "partial 16S large subunit ribosomal RNA". The record is from RNAcentral. Lineage: Eukaryota; Metazoa; Arthropoda; Insecta; Lepidoptera; Noctuidae.